RNAcentral lists this ribosomal RNA (254 nucleotides) under uncultured bacterium. RNAcentral describes it as "partial 16S ribosomal RNA". It matches the Rfam family "Bacterial small subunit ribosomal RNA", at positions 524 to 776 of the family's 1533-position model. The record is from RNAcentral.
UACGUAGGGGGCAAGCGUUGUCCGGAUUUAUUGGGCGUAAAGAGCUCGUAGGCGGUUUGUCGCGUCUGCUGUGAAAGCCCGGGGCUUAACCCCGUGGUGUGCAGUGGGUACGGGCAGACUAGAGUGCAGUAGGGGAGACUGGAAUUCCUGGUGUAGCGGUGAAAUGCGCAGAUAUCAGGAGGAACACCGAUGGCGAAGGCAGGUCUCUGGGCUGUUACUGACGCUCAUGCACGAAAGCGUGGGGAGCAAACAGG